GGCCGAGAGGCUGAAGGCGCUCCCCUGCUAAGGGAGUAUGCGGUCAAAAGCUGCAUCGAGGGUUCGAAUCCCUC
RNAcentral lists this transfer RNA (74 nucleotides) under Lucilia cuprina (Australian sheep blowfly). It matches the Rfam family "tRNA", at positions 9 to 63 of the family's 71-position model. From Rfam's summary of the family: Transfer RNA (tRNA) molecules are approximately 80 nucleotides in length. Their secondary structure includes four short double-helical elements and three loops (D, anti-codon, and T loops). The record is from Rfam by way of RNAcentral. Lineage: Eukaryota; Metazoa; Arthropoda; Insecta; Diptera; Calliphoridae.